UACAGAGGUCCCAAGCGUUGUUCGGAUUCAUUGGGCGUAAAGGGUGCGUAGGCGGCGCGGGAAGUCGGGUGUGAAAUCUCGGAGCUUAACUCCGAAACUGCAUUCGAUACUGCCGUGCUUGAGGACUGGAGAGGAGACUGGAAUUUACGGUGUAGCGGUGAAAUGCGUAGAUAUCGUAAGGAACACCUGCGGCGAAGGCGGGUUGCUGGGCCGACACUGACGCUGAUGCGCGAAAGCCAGGGGAGCGAACGGG
Molecule: ribosomal RNA, 253 nt
Filed under: uncultured bacterium
Lineage: Bacteria
Description: partial 16S ribosomal RNA
Rfam family: Bacterial small subunit ribosomal RNA
Source: RNAcentral